Molecule: ribosomal RNA, 631 nt
Filed under: uncultured bacterium
Lineage: Bacteria
Description: bacterial SSU rRNA
Rfam family: Bacterial small subunit ribosomal RNA (bases 1-542)
Source: RNAcentral
CCUACGGGAGGCAGCAGUGGGGAAUUUUGGACAAUGGGCGCAAGCCUGAUCCAGCAAUGCCGCGUGAGUGAAGAAGGCCUUCGGGUUGUAAAGCUCUUUUGUCAGGGAAGAAACGGUGGGGGCUAAUAUCCCUCGCUAAUGACGGUACCUGAAGAAUAAGCACCGGCUAACUACGUGCCAGCAGCCGCGGUAAUACGUAGGGUGCAAGCGUUAAUCGGAAUUACUGGGCGUAAAGCGUGCGCAGGCGGUUUUGUAAGUCUGUCGUGAAAGCCCCGGGCUCAACCUGGGAAUUGCGAUGGAGACUGCAAGGCUUGAAUCUGGCAGAGGGGGGUAGAAUUCCACGUGUAGCAGUGAAAUGCGUAGAGAUGUGGAGGAACACCGAUGGCGAAGGCAGCCCCCUGGGUCAAGAUUGACGCUCAUGCACGAAAGCGUGGGGAGCAAACAGGAUUAGAUACCCUGGUAGUCCACGCCCUAAACGAUGUCUACUAGUUGUCGGGUUUUAAUUAACUUGGUAACGCAGCUAACGCGUGAAGUAGACCGCCUGGGGGAGGUACGGUCGCGAAGAAGUAAACUUACAAAGUAGUUAAGUUAGUAGGCGNGAGAGNGCGACGGACGACGACGAGGGAGGAGG